GGAUUGUGGCUCAGUGGUAGAGCACUGGCCUAGCUGUGUGAGGCCCUGGGUUUGAUCCUCAGCACCA
This 67-nucleotide transfer RNA is filed under the name Marmota monax (woodchuck). RNAcentral's name for it is "tRNA.Undet". The record is from RNAcentral. Lineage: Eukaryota; Metazoa; Chordata; Mammalia; Rodentia; Sciuridae.